Molecule: ribosomal RNA, 483 nt
Filed under: uncultured bacterium
Lineage: Bacteria
Description: bacterial SSU rRNA
Rfam family: Bacterial small subunit ribosomal RNA
Source: RNAcentral
CUGGCUCAGGAUGAACGCUGGCGGCGCGCUUAACACAUGCAAGUCGAACGAUUAAGGCACUUCGGUGCGUAUAGAGUGGCGAACGGGUGAGUAACACGUGACCAACCUGCCCCCUCCACCGGGACAACCUCGGGAAACCGAGGCUAAUACCGGAUACUCCGCCCAGGGCGCAUGCCCUAGGCGGGAAAGCCCAGACGGGAGGGGAUGGGGUCGCGGCCCAUUAGGUAGACGGCGGGGUAACGGCCCACCGUGCCGACGAUGGGUAGCCGGGCUGAGAGGCUGAUCGGCCACAUUGGGACUGAGACACGGCCCAGACUCCUACGGGAGGCAGCAGUGGGGAAUCUUGCGCAAUGGGGGAAACCCUGAACCGCAGCGACGCCGCGUGCGGGACGAAGGCCCUCGGGCUGUAAACCGCUUUCAGCAGGGAAGAAAUCUGACGGUACCUGCAGAAGAAGCCCCGGCUAACUACGUGCCAGCAGCUGC